Molecule: long non-coding RNA, 2069 nt
Organism: Harpegnathos saltator (Jerdon's jumping ant)
Lineage: Eukaryota; Metazoa; Arthropoda; Insecta; Hymenoptera; Formicidae
Exons: 2
Source: RefSeq, a predicted model, not a curated record
GAGAGAGAGAGAGAGAAGCCGCGCUUUGGCACGGAUUCAACGACCGACUUUACCAGCGGACCAGCGUCUGCCUGGUGCUCGCAGACUCCGCAAUGUAUGAAAAGAUUCGAGCCGGACGGGACGUUGGUAUAACGUGCUUGACGUAAUUCCCACGGCGAUUCUGCGCCGCGUCAUUUGUCCGCUGUUCGAAGGUACGUAACGCGAUUCUAUGUCGCUUGGGUCCGCCGACGAGGCGGACAGGUACGCCCUUUUCAUCCUCCGAGCAACCUGCGGCGAGCACGUCAACGCGACGUGCUCGUGACCGUCAGCUUGAAUCCGUUCCGUCGCCGUUCCGUAGAAGUAGCGCGCGAGCAUGGCAGAGUGCGCCGGCCAAACGUGGCCGUCGUCGCUUCGAGAUCCACCUUUCCUACCUACCUACCUACCUACCGCGCUUCGACGCACCGUCUUUCUCGCCGAUGCGCCUUCGUCUCUCGCGAUUACUCUCCGUAGCCGUAGAUUAGUCGAGUGUCGGCGUGUCCGUCGCGACGACUGACGUUGUCAAAGUGAACGGAGAUUCUCUAUAUAAUGACGUAUACGAGCAUAAUACCGACCAAUAUUAACGCGAAGCGACAUGCUCGAGUCGCUUAGCAUUUUUCCGAAGAGGCGUCAUUCACGGAUUCACUGCGGUUAUAUAUACCGAAGUAACCUCACGACGAACCUCGGCGCCUCCGUUGGAUUCGCUGUAGUCGAGCCGAAUCAUCAUUAUUCAUCCUCGAAAUUUCCGGCAUCGUUUGGAAAAUUGUUCGUCAACACAAAGAUGCCCGGCACAAAGACCGUGGCAAUCAAUAGCCGCGCGAUACAGUCCGCCCGCAUCGAAAAUCGAUCGAAGAGCGGGCGUACGUGUUGGAGCGGCGCCGACUUUAAUUCUUAACCGAGCGAAAAUCGCGACGUGACAGCGGUGUUCACCGCGAUAUCGAUUCGACUUAUCGAUGUCUGAGCGAUUCGGAACGCCACUUGAGCAGAUAAUGAUGGCAGUCCGUGGGAGUCCAAUUUCAAUCUCUGGAACCUCCGAACCGAGCACAGUGCUACUUAACCAAACUCUACUUUUAAUUACAUUCACCAGGGAGUCCAAUUUUAACCUCCAAACCGAAUAGUGCCUACUUAAACUAAGCUCUGCUCCUAAUUAUAUUAAUCGAACAAUGACGUUGCGGAUUUUGUCUUAUUAAGUGCCUAGAGCCAGGAUUGUAUGAGGUGUGUGUGUGUGUGUGUGUGUGUGUGUGUGAGAGAGAGAGGCGCGUCGAGAUGCGAUAAGCAUAUCUCCCAGUCGCUGAAAUCUUACAAAAUUACCGAACUUCGUCACUGUUAUCGCAGGUGACGCUCGUCGGUCACGGCAUGAUAACGCUUCUCCGCUGCGGAUUUGUCUACUUCUCGCGGGGAUAGAACGUAGACGAGCGACGUCGGGACUGGGCUUCGUGCGGCCUCUCGUGGCGUCGAUGCGUCAUCCUCGUCGGACUCUCGCGCGAUUCUCAGCGCGUUCGGGGAGUGCGCGCGCAGCCGUGCGGCGAGCUUGCGCAGUCGGCGCGCUCAGGCUUGCGUCGGGGGGUGGCUUUCUCACGGGGGUUGCGUUGCGUCGUGCUCCUCCGGCCACCGGGCGGAAAGGUGGGAAUCGCGCAGGGUGUCGAGUGUGUGCAGUGUUGCCUAUCGCGCAGGGAGCACAACACUCGCCGUCUCUCUGACCUCCCCAUUUUUACUGAUGUUUCGUUUGGGAUUUGUGUGUGUUCCUUUAUGAAAACUCGUUAUUGCGGCCGCGCCGGACGAUCAUCUCGCAAAUACACACUUAUGCUCAGACCCGCCUCGCAGCUGUCCGAUAAUGUCUGUCAUCGUCGCGCUCGUUACGUGACCCGCGACACGCGUGUUACGAGAGUCUACGCGGGCACAACAAGCACCAGCGGACGGUCAUCGUGACACCGUGGCGACGAUCGGGGUGACCGAUAAUGGAUCGUAGCGCGAAACUCUAGGCCCCCUCCCUGCCCCCCCCCAAGCCCCUCCAAUACUGUAGCGCGAUCAUCGUGAUCAUCGCACUAUCGUAA